This 700-nucleotide ribosomal RNA is filed under the name bacterium. RNAcentral's name for it is "bacterial SSU rRNA". It matches the Rfam family "Bacterial small subunit ribosomal RNA", at positions 31 to 712 of the family's 1533-position model. The record is from RNAcentral.
GGGAGGUAGAGGCGUGCAUGUACAUGUCGAGUCGAGCGAGACCUUUUAAAGCUUGCUUUUGAAAGGUCAGCGGCGGACGGGUGAGUAACACGUGGGCAACCUGCCUGUAAGACUGGGAUAACUUCGGGAAACCGGAGCUAAUACCGGAUAAUAUAAGGAACCUCCUGGUUCUUUAUUGAAAGAUGGUUUCGGCUAUCACUUACAGAUGGGCCCGCGGCGCAUUAGCUAGUUGGUGAGGUAACGGCUCACCAAGGCAACGAUGCGUAGCCGACCUGAGAGGGUGAUCGGCCACACUGGGACUGAGACACGGCCCAGACUCCUACGGGAGGCAGCAGUAGGGAAUCUUCCACAAUGGACGAAAGUCUGAUGGAGCAACGCCGCGUGAGCGAUGAAGGCCUUCGGGUCGUAAAGCUCUGUUGUUAGGGAAGAACAAGUGCGAGAGUAACUGCUCGCACCUUGACGGUACCUAACCAGAAAGCCACGGCUAACUACGUGCCAGCAGCCGCGGUAAUACGUAGGUGGCAAGCGUUGUCCGGAAUUAUUGGGCGUAAAGCGCGCGCAGGUGGUCCUUUAAGUCUGAUGUGAAAGCCCACGGCUCAACCGUGGAGGGUCAUUGGAAACUGGGGGACUUGAGUGCAGAAGAGGAAAGUGGAAUUCCAAGUGUAGCGGUGAAAUGCGUAGAGAUUUGGAGGAACACCAG